Non-coding RNA from Acanthosepion pharaonis, 114 nucleotides. NCBI's taxonomy places the organism in Eukaryota, Metazoa, Mollusca, Cephalopoda, Sepiida, Sepiidae. The record is from the annotation of a GenBank genome assembly.
UUACGGCCGCAUCACGAUGAAACACCAGUUCCCAUACGAUCACCGAAGUUAAGCAACGUCGAGCCUGGUCAGUAACUAGAUGGGUGACCGCUUCAGGAUAACAGGUGUUGUAAG